AUCCGCACAAUGCGUGGCGACCAACGAGAUGUGAAGGCAGCGAGGUCCUCCGCAUAGGGCGGCCAACUGCGCAAACAAAUGUCGAUCGUCCGCCUCGCACGCCUCAUAGGCGGCAUCGCGUGCUGCGCGGGCAUCUGCGUGCGGUAGGAGCGCGUCGGCCACGGCCCGGUUGGCAGCGCGCGCUGCGACGGCGAGCCACCCGGCGACCACGCACCUCAGAGGAUGUGUCUGGGCCAUGAUCUGCGCCGUGCGCGAGACGGCGCUCUCGGGGCGGCUCAUGGCAGCGACCGCCUCUCUGUUUUGCGCCGUCGGCGCAUUGGGGUUGUUUGCCUGGUCGAAGAGAUCGCCCAGCAGGCGCCCCCAUUCGACAUCGCAGCGGCAGCGGCAGCGUCCCUCUAGGUGCGGCCGCAUCUUUCGCGUGCCCAUGGCCGCCAGCGCCUCAGCGUCGAGAUGGUCAAAUGCACAUUGGAUGGCCUCGCAGGAGACGGCGAACCCAUAACGCAGUCGGCGCCAGCGAUCGAAUUGCAAUCUGCGCGGUCCGUGGCCGCGACACGAGCACGCCGAGGCGACCUCGGUAGCGUCUGGUUCGACGCCCAUCGAGAUGAGCCAUUCGAGGACGUCGACGCGGCACGUCUUGGCAGCCGCCGUCACGGCAGCGCCGGCGUGCUCGGCGCCGCAGUGCCUGUUCCACAAGAGCGCGAGCGCAUCGAUGGCGCCCGUCGACGCCGCCGUCUCGACGCACGAGGCAUCGCAGCGUGCGGGCGCGGCGUCGCGUUCGUGACCAAGACCAUAUUCGUCGAGCAAGGCGGCGGCUGCGGCGAGGUGACCGCCGGCGGCGGCACUCGCCCACACGCCGGCGACUGAACGAGCGUGCUUGGCACGACGGGGCACGGCGAGGAGCAUGCGCACCAGAUCGAGGUGGCCGCCCUUUGCAGCAAAGCACGCAGCGCUCCACGUGUCGCCAAUGAGGUCGGCGUCGAGCAUCCACCGGAUGACGUCGGCACGACCGGAAAAGGCCGCCCCGCGGCAGUCGACCGGUUCUGGGCAAAGUCCGACAGACACGAGCGCCUCGUGCGCCCAACGUACGGCGCCGAGAUCGCCCCGCUCGACGGCCGUCUCCCAUGCGCGUCCGAUCGUAUAGUCGAUCGCAUGCACAUAGGGAAAGAUGCGCCUCUGGGUUGAAUCGAGCGGCCAGGGUGUGCACAGCGCCGGCAGGUAGCGUUGCCACAGCCAAUCCGCCUCGUCGACGAGGCCGCGGGCGAGCGCGUCCGAGAUGGCGCGCGGAUAGCAGUGGAACCCGUGGCCGGGGUAGGGCGCCUGAUUAUCGUAGCGGCUGCGUGGCAUGGGCAUACGAAGAUGGCGACUGCACGGGCAGGCCGAGUCGGGGUAGCGAUCCUGCGGACGGUUCCGGCGCGUCCAAAAGAGACGCGACGCCAUGCGGCAGCGGGCCGCGUCGCAUGGGUCGUCCAACUGGGACAGGACGGCGUCGACCAUCUCGACGGGCAACGAAUCGAGACCGGCGCGCUGCACAACGGCGAGUUUGCCUUGCGACAUGUCAUUCGGCGCGACGCCUUUUGCUUCCCCGGUGACUUUGGCGUGCCGUGCGCGUCGUGGCAUGAGGAAAAGGAGGGAGCGGUGAAGGACCGAAAAGGCGUCGGCCAACCCAGAGACCUCUAAAAAAAAAAGGGCACAAGCAAAGGACCCGACACGCGCACGGCACCGAGACCAAAGCCGCGACAAUGAAAAAAGACGACAACAACACAGCCCCGCGUCCUUGAAGAGCGAAAGAAACAGAGGCAGCCGUUUUUUUUGACAAAUCAAAAAAAAAGUUGGCUAAAUCUCUCCCUUUUUUUCUCUUUUUUUUUGUGGUCGG
RNAcentral lists this long non-coding RNA (1873 nucleotides) under Pandoravirus dulcis. RNAcentral describes it as "putative ncRNA". The record is from RNAcentral.